AGGAAGCUGUCUGCAAAUUCAGGUAGCUUUUCUGACUCUUAAUGAGGUCUUGAAUAUUCUUUCAGAGAAAUGCCAGCAAAAACUGUAGUCAUUUGGGGAAGAAUAAGUCUGGAAGAAAAAUACACAGAGGACUAGCACCAAGAGGGACUUUGUAUUUGCUGCUUAACAGCUCAAAAUCUGGUGGCUUAAAACAACAAUCAUAAAGCAUUGCUCACAAGUCUAAAGUCCACAGCUCACGAUGAUGACAAUCCUGAGGAUACAGGAAAAUCAUUUCCCAUGCAAGAAGAAGAAACUAUCUGAAGAAGAGAUAAGAGUGUGCCAUGACAUCAAAAAAGAAAAAAAGGUAGAGAAAUGGAGAACAGGAUAAAGGCCUAGAAUCCCCUGCUCCAGAAAGGUAAGGGCAAUUGUGCCAACUAUAAUA
This is a long non-coding RNA of Mustela lutreola (European mink), 421 nucleotides long. RefSeq lists it as uncharacterized. NCBI's taxonomy places the organism in Eukaryota, Metazoa, Chordata, Mammalia, Carnivora, Mustelidae. The record is from RefSeq and is a predicted model, not a curated record. The transcript is spliced from 4 exons.